Molecule: long non-coding RNA, 1374 nt
Organism: Mesocricetus auratus (golden hamster)
Lineage: Eukaryota; Metazoa; Chordata; Mammalia; Rodentia; Cricetidae
Exons: 2
Source: RefSeq, a predicted model, not a curated record
GCCCGGCCACCUCUCGCCGCACUCCCGCCCCGACCCGCACUCAACGCCGCAGGAAGGGGAGGACCGGGGGGCGGUGGCCGCGGAGCGGCUGACGGUGCCCGGGCGCGCCUCUUAAAGGGGCCGCGCCACGGGAAGAGGGCCGGGUCCUUGAAACAGACCAGGACGGCGGCUACCGGGUCUAACCCCACUCUGGACACAGGGGCUCCCCAGAUCGGUUGGUUCCGAGCGAUCCCUCCACGGUGGAGGCCCUGACUAGUUCUUCACACCUCGAACAGAAAUACCUGGUUCCCCAUUUCUGCACUGCCAAGGCACCUACCAACCUCGGUGGUGACCGCACCAGGGAAACACUCAGGAGGAUCCACACUACAGAGAAAUCAACUAGGGCAGGCCACCCAAUGAGACAGCCAUGGCCAGGCUGGGUCCCCCAUGCCAGCGGCCCGAGGGCCAGCCAGCAAGCCUCUGGUGUAGGAGAUCUGAGGUGGGUGGUAAAGCUGAACAAUGGCCACACAGUUGUCACGGGACUCCUUCCACCGAGUGAUGAAUAGGAAUGUCUCUCCCUCAGCUCAUACAAAGCGUCUUCCUCCCCGAGUCCUGACUUUUGGCCUCCAGUGUAGUAUUUGCGCGGUCUCUCUCUUUCUCUGAAGGGAUCACAAACCUCUUUCUUAGCCUCGGAGCUGGGUGGAAGAUAGGAAACCUUUGAUGGUUUCCAGAGAAGGUUAAUGAUCUGAGGCGCAUAGCAGAGACACUCUCAGGAGGGAGUCUCCUCUAUAUAAAAGCAAAUCCAGGCCAGCGUGCCGGGUGAGGUGAAAGGAAAGGGGAUUUGGCAACUGAAGAACAGCCUGAGUUCUGAUUACUUUUUCCUCUCCGUGCCUCAGUUUCCCCAGAAUUGAGACAAAACCAGAGCACCUGCCCCCCCUUAUUUCCUUGGUUGUAAACAGUCUCUUUUAGCGAAAUGGAGCCCAGGACCAGCGGCUAGAUUAGCAGGGUCUCCCUGACUUCGACCGUGUGGUCUCGUGAUUCUCUUUUCCUCCCUGGAACUCACUCUCGUCCUCAUCUGUAGCUGUUUUCUGCACCCGUGGGUUCAGUCUGUGGGAACGUCGGCAGGGCGGGCGAGCCUUCGGAGCCCAGCUCAGCACGCUGUGCAGCUCGCGACUGCCCUCUGCAGACCUCUUUCAUCUCAUUCCCCGCCUACCUCACCCUUCUCUGGCCCAGCAGGCAGUAAACAAGCUGUUCGUUUAUCUUGAGACGAGGGCCCAUACUUCUGGACUCGAGUGACCCACUUCUUGCUUCAGCCUCCUGAGCUAGCUGGGACUACACUUAUAUGCCAGCAUGGUAGCUUUUAAUAUUUUAUAAAUAAAUACAUUUGCUUUUAAA